GAUGAACGCUGGCGGCGUGCCUAAUACAUGCAAGUCGAGCGAACAGACGAGGAGCUUGCUCCUCUGACGUUAGCGGCGGACGGGUGAGUAACGCGUGGAUAACCUACCUAUAAGAUUGGGAUAACUUCGGGAAACCUGAGCUAAUACCGGAUAAUAUAUUGAACCGCAUGGUUCAAUAGUGAAAGACGGUUUUGCUGUCACUUAUAGAUGGAUCCGCGCCGCAUUAGCUAGUUGGUAAGGUAACGGCUUACCAAGGCAACGAUGCGUAGCCGACCUGAGAGGGUGAUCGGCCACACUGGAACUGAGACACGGUCCAGACUCCUACGGGAGGCAGCAGUAGGGAAUCUUCCGCAAUGGGCGAAAGCCUGACGGAGCAACGCCGCGUGAGUGAUGAAGGUCUUCGGAUCGUAAAACUCUGUUAUUAGGGAAGAACAAAUGUGUAAGUAACUAUGCACGUCUUGACGGUACCUAAUCAGAAAGCCACGGCUAACUACGUG
Molecule: ribosomal RNA, 497 nt
Filed under: uncultured bacterium
Lineage: Bacteria
Description: partial 16S ribosomal RNA
Rfam family: Bacterial small subunit ribosomal RNA
Source: RNAcentral